GACGGAGGGUGCAAGCGUUAUUCGGAUUUAUUGGGCGCAAAGAGCAUGUAGGCGGUCGGUCAAGUCUGAUGUGAAAUCCCGGGGCUUAACCUCGGAAGGGCGUUGGAAACUGGUCGACUUGAGUUCGGGAGAGGAAAGCGGAAUUCCGGGUGUAGAGGUGAAAUUCGUAGAUAUCCGGAGGAACACCGGUGGCGAAGGCGGCUUUCCGGACCAAAACUGACGCUGAGAUGCGAAAGCGUGGGGAGCAAACAGG
RNAcentral lists this ribosomal RNA (253 nucleotides) under uncultured bacterium. RNAcentral describes it as "partial 16S ribosomal RNA". It matches the Rfam family "Bacterial small subunit ribosomal RNA", at positions 524 to 776 of the family's 1533-position model. The record is from RNAcentral.